RNAcentral lists this ribosomal RNA (468 nucleotides) under uncultured bacterium. RNAcentral describes it as "partial 16S ribosomal RNA". It matches the Rfam family "Bacterial small subunit ribosomal RNA", at positions 28 to 507 of the family's 1533-position model. The record is from RNAcentral.
GACGAACGCUGGCGGCGUGCUUAACACAUGCAAGUCGAACGGAAAGGCCCUGCUUUUGUGGGGUGCUCGAGUGGCGAACGGGUGAGUAACACGUGAGUAACCUGCCCUUGACUUUGGGAUAACUUCAGGAAACUGGGGCUAAUACCGGAUAGGAGCUCCUGCUGCAUGGUGGGGGUUGGAAAGUUUCGGCGGUUGGGGAUGGACUCGCGGCUUAUCAGCUUGUUGGUGGGGUAGUGGCUUACCAAGGCUUUGACGGGUAGCCGGCCUGAGAGGGUGACCGGCCACAUUGGGACUGAGAUACGGCACAGACUCCUACGGGAGGCAGCAGUGGGGAAGAGUGCACAAUGGGCGGAAGCCUGAUGCAGCAACGCCGCGUGCGGGAUGACGGCCUUCGGGUUGUAAACCGCUUUCGCCUGUGACGAAGCGUGAGUGACGGUAAUGGGUAAAGAAGCCCCGGCUAACUACGUG